Non-coding RNA from Favolaschia claudopus, 114 nucleotides. The record is from the annotation of a GenBank genome assembly. Lineage: Eukaryota; Fungi; Basidiomycota; Agaricomycetes; Agaricales; Mycenaceae.
ACACCAAUGGUGAAGCGGUUAUCAUGCUUGCCUUCCACUUUCGAACACGUGACUUUCACGUGCUAAAAUCGUGACUUUCAGCAAGCGGCAGGGGUUCGACUCCCCUUUGGUGUA